CCUAGUAACGGCGAGUGAAGCGGGAAGAGCUCAAGCUUAAAAUCUGGGGCGCUUGCGUCUUCAGAAUUGUAGUUGAGAGAAGUGUUUUCACCGGGACGAGCGAUGGCCUAAGUUGCUUGGAACAGCACGUCAUAGAGGGUGAGAAUCCCGUCUGUGGUUGGUUGCUCCCUCGGAACGAUGCACUUUCGAAGAGUCGGGUUGUUUGGGAAUGCAGCCCAAAAUGGGUGGUAAACUCCAUCUAAAGCUAAAUACUGCCACGAGACCGAUAGCGAACAAGUACCGUGAGGGAAAGAUGAAAAGCACUUUGAAAAGAGAGUUAAAAGCACGUGAAACCGUUGAAAGGGAAACGCGCUCGGCUAGCAAUGCGCGCCUGUGGUUCAGCCGGCUAAUCUUGUGAGUUGGCGUGUGGCGGAUCCGAAUGGACCGUCCGCGUCAGCAUCGCGGGGCGAGCUGUGGUGCACUCCAUGGGCGUGCGCGUCAGCGUCGGUUCCAGACGAGCGACAAGGUGAUUGGGGAAGGUAGCUCGGUUCUUCGGAUCCGAGUGUUAAGACCCUUUUGCUGGGUUCGUCGUGGGACCGAGGAGAGAGAUGAUCGCUGCGGCACCUGCCUCUCGGGGCUAGCCAGCUGCUGUUAGAUGUGCGUCAGGCGUCGAGGACUGCACGCAGUGCUUGGUGUUGAGGCGUGGUCUAGUGGUGGUGUGGGUAUAGAGGUGCCUAGGACGCUGGCGUCCAAAUGGCCGUGCGCGACCCGUCUUGAAACACGGACCAAGGAGUCUAACAUGUGCGCGAGUCUUAGGGUGUACAAGCCCUCGGGCGGAAUGAAAGUGAAGGUUCGGCGCUGGUCGAGCUGAGGUGAGAGCUGUACGUGGAAUGAUUGCCACCGCGGCGCAUCAUCGGCCGGUCCAUCCUGCUCUCAGGAGGAUCCGAGCAAGAGCGUAUUUGUUGGGACCCGAAAGAUGGUGAACUAUGCCUGAAUAGGGUGAAGCCAGAGGAAACUCUGGUGGAGGCUCGUAGGGAUUCUAACGUGCAAAUUGAUCUCAAAAUUUGGGUAUAGGGCGAAAGACUA
This 1065-nucleotide ribosomal RNA is filed under the name Leucosolenida sp. 11 JV-2020. RNAcentral's name for it is "partial large subunit ribosomal RNA". It matches the Rfam family "Eukaryotic large subunit ribosomal RNA", at positions 79 to 933 of the family's 3401-position model. Lineage: Eukaryota; Metazoa; Porifera; Calcarea; Leucosolenida. The record is from RNAcentral.